GCUAAGUACGUGCCGGAGGCGGCGGGAGUCCGGAGGGGGGGGGGGUGGUCCGGAAUUAUUGGGCGGAAAGAGCUCGUAGGCGGCCUGUCGCGUCGGAUGUGAAAGCCCGGGGCUUAACCCCGGGUCUGCAUUCGAUACGGGCAGGCUGGAGUGUGGUAGGGGAGAUCGGAAUUCCUGGUGUAGCGGUGAAAUGCGCAGAUAUCAGGAGGAACACCGGUGGCGAAGGCGGAUCUCUGGGCCAUUACUGACGCUGAGGAGCGAAAGCGUGGGGAGCGAACAGGAUUAGAUACCCCAGUAGUC
Molecule: ribosomal RNA, 300 nt
Filed under: uncultured Aeropyrum sp.
Lineage: Archaea; Thermoproteati; Thermoproteota; Thermoprotei; Acidilobales; Acidilobaceae
Description: partial 16S ribosomal RNA
Rfam family: Bacterial small subunit ribosomal RNA
Source: RNAcentral